This 1119-nucleotide ribosomal RNA is filed under the name Triticum aestivum (bread wheat). Its description in RNAcentral is "partial small subunit ribosomal RNA". Lineage: Eukaryota; Viridiplantae; Streptophyta; Magnoliopsida; Poales; Poaceae. The record is from RNAcentral.
AUGCCAGCAGCACUGCCGCCGACGCUCCCUGAGGAGCUUGUCGAAGAGAUCCUCCUCCGCAUCCCGCCCGACGAGCCUGCCGGCCUCCUUCGCGCCUCCCUCGUCUGCAAGUCCUGGAGCCAGGCCGUCUCCCAUCGCGGAUUCCGGCGCCGCCUCCAGGAUUUCCACCGGGCACCCCCCGUGCUCGGGUUUCUCCAUGAUUGGGACGACGAGGACAUCCCCGACUUUAUCUCCGCCACUGUGUCGCCCUUCUCCCUUGCUGUCCCAGACAGCUGGCUCUGGCAGGCCGUUGACUGCCGCCACGGCCGCGCACUCUUCCUCUCUGAUGACCCUUAUCCUGAGGAACUCCUGGUGUGGGAGCCAAUCACGGGUUCCCAGCAGCUUGUGCCAGUGCCCGUGAUGUCUGAUAUCGGCCGCACAACCGCCUCAGUGUUCUGCGCAGCAGAUGGGUGCGACCACUGCAACUGCCAUGGGGGCCCUUUCUGCGUUGUCUUUGUCUUCUCCGUCGACAGCGAAGAUCCUGACGACGGGGAAUAUGACACGGCAGCAUGUGUAUACUCGUCAGAGACCGGUGCUUGGGGCGAGCUGACCGUGAUGCAUGGGGAGUUCUACAUGCACUUCACAUAUUCUUCCAGUGUGCUUGUUGGGGAGUCUUUGCUCUACUUCAUGACUGAUGGUGGGUUGAUCCUGGAGUAUGACAUGGCAAUGCAUGGGCUGACUUGGUUCAAGGCACCAUACUCUUGCUACUCUAAGGGUAUACCCAGUUACAUUCUCAUGCCGGCAGAGGACGGUGGACUGGGACUCGUUGAAGAAUUGGAUCCGCAUCUGAAAUUGUGGUCAAGGGAGAUGACUGAUGCCCGAUGGAUACCCAGCCGGAUUAUCAACUUGGGAAGUUUGUCUCUAAAUGGUGCUCAAAUGGGUGCAACAUGUCCGGUCCACGUGUUGGGCUUUGCGGAGGGAGCAAACGUCAUUGUCGUGACCACUGCUGCCGGCCUCUUCAGAGUUCAAGUCCAAUCAGAGGAGAUAACCAGGGUGUGCGAUGAUCAUGGAUAUGGUAACCUGAUUCCUGUUGUCGGCUUCUACACUCCUAUGCCCCAAGUGGCAGCAGCUGAAGCUUAA